Molecule: ribosomal RNA, 372 nt
Filed under: uncultured organism
Description: bacterial SSU rRNA
Rfam family: Bacterial small subunit ribosomal RNA
Source: RNAcentral
CGGGGGAGCAAGCGUUGUUCGGAUUUACUGGGCGUAAAGGGCGCGUAGGCGGCGUGACAAGUCACUUGUGAAAUCUCCGGGCUUAACUCGGAACGGUCAAGUGAUACUGUCGUGCUAGAGUACAGAAGGGGCAACUGGAAUUCUCGGUGUAGCGGUGAAAUGCGUAGAUAUCGAGAGGAACACCUGCGGCGAAGGCGGGUUGCUGGGCUGAUACUGACGCUGAGGCGCGAAAGCCAGGGGAGCGAACGGGAUUAGAUACCCCGGUAGUCCUGGCCUUAAACGAUGAAUGCUUGGUGUCUCGGGUUAUAAAGUCCCGGGGUGCCGUCGCUAACGCUUUUAGCAUUCCGCCUGGGGAGUACGGUCGACAAGACU